GAUGAACGCUGGCGGCGUGCCUAAUACAUGCAAGUCGAGCGAACGGACGAGAAGCUUGCUUCUCUGAUGUUAGCGGCGGACGGGUGAGUAACACGUGGAUAACCUACCUAUAAGACUGGGAUAACUUCGGGAAACCGUAGCUAAUACCGGAUAAUAUUUUGAACCGCAUGGUUCAAAAGUGAAAGACGGUCUUGCUGUCACUUAUAGAUGGAUCCGCGCUGCAUUAGCUAGUUGGUAAGGUAACGGCUUACCAAGGCAACGAUGCAUAGCCGACCUGAGAGGGUGGUCGGCCCCACUGGAACUGAGCCCCGGUCCAGGCUCCUGAGGGAAGGCGCAGUAGGGGAACUUCCGGAAAGGGGGGAAACCUUGCCGAACAAACGCGCGGGGGUUGAUGAAGUCCUCCGGUCGGUAAAACCUGGUUAUUGGGGAAAACCAAUUUUGAAAGUACCGGGGCCCACCUGACGGUACCUAAUCAGAAAGCCACGGCUAACUACGUG
RNAcentral lists this ribosomal RNA (497 nucleotides) under uncultured bacterium. RNAcentral describes it as "partial 16S ribosomal RNA". It matches the Rfam family "Bacterial small subunit ribosomal RNA", at positions 28 to 507 of the family's 1533-position model. The record is from RNAcentral.